Molecule: long non-coding RNA, 238 nt
Filed under: Mytilus galloprovincialis (Mediterranean mussel)
Lineage: Eukaryota; Metazoa; Mollusca; Bivalvia; Mytilida; Mytilidae
Source: RNAcentral
UUCAGGUUAAAGUUUUUGGUCAAGGUAGUUUUUGAUGAAGCUGAAGUCCAAUCAACUUGAAACUUAGUAGACUUAUUGCUUAUGAUAUGAUCUUUCUAAUAUUAAAGCCAAAUCAGAAUUUUGACCCCAAUUUCACGGUCCACUGAACAUAGAAAAUGAAAGUGGGAGUUUCAGGUUAAAGUUUUUGGUCAAGGUAGUUUUUGGUGAAGCUGAAGUCCAAUCAACUUGAAACUUAGUA